Molecule: RNA transcript, 1280 nt
Organism: Beta vulgaris subsp. vulgaris (sugar beet)
Lineage: Eukaryota; Viridiplantae; Streptophyta; Magnoliopsida; Caryophyllales; Amaranthaceae
Gene name: protein disulfide-isomerase SCO2
Exons: 4
Source: RefSeq, a predicted model, not a curated record
UAGACCUGGCAAAAUGUUAGAAGUCGUGUUCCUCUCGACCACCGCGUUAUUUCUCCUCUUAUCUCUCGGCACUCCACUCUCCACCCAAACUAACCUCCAAACUUUCAUCAUCAAUGGCGAUAAUACAACAAUCAAAUACCAAUUUUUCCCAAUAAUUUGAAAUUAUCUCUCUAAAAUCACAACUUUCUUCUCACAUACCACAAUUUCACUCUCAAUUUUUUUUUAAAAAAACACACAAAAUGUUCGCUGCAAAUCUAAGCACUUCAUCUUCAUUCAUCUCACCUAUACCAUCAACUUCAAAACCCUAUUUUCUCUCUCCUCCUCACAAUUACACAAUCUCAAUCCAAUGUCGCGCGCCUGAUUUUUCCGCAGCAUCGUCUUCUUCGUCGCCUAAUUGGUUCCAAUUUCCCGACAUUUCUGGACCUCGGAUUCCUCGAGAAAAGGACGCCGUUUUAGGGGGUGGUAACAAUGGUGGUAGUAGUAUUAAUGGAAAAAGAGAGAAAAAAUGGUCGAGAAAUCGAGAGAGUUAUUUAAGUGAUAAUUCUGACCCUCUUCCUCUUCCUAUGACUUAUCCCGAUACUACCCCUAUUUCUCCUGAAGAAAUUGAUCGUCGUCUUAGUUGUGAUCCUCAAAUUGAGGACUGCAGGGUGGUUUUUUACGAGUGGACAGGCAAGUGUCGGAGUUGCCAAGGGUCAGGUUAUGUCGAUUACUACAACAAACGAGGGAAGUCGACCACUUGCAAAUGCAUACCAUGUGCUGGAAUCGGAUAUGUUCAGAAGAUAACGGCCAGAAAGGACUUUGAAUUAAUGGAGGAUUAGAUGACGGAAAACUACCUUGACCCUCAUUGUUGUUAGUUCUUCUUGCUUUAAAGUUUGCUGCCGCUGUCUCUAUGGUUGCUUUAGCUUCGGUUUCCAACAUGCAAUAUACAAUACCACCGCAUAGUGCUGCUACUGUUGCUGCUGCGGCGGCCGCCUCCAUUCGUUAUGGGAGAAAUGUGCUAUCUGAUAGUAGUGUAAGCAGGGCGAGUGAGAGCCAGCAUCUCAGAACUGCUCAAGAUGACAAGAAGGAUGUCAAAAUACUUUGUUGCGCUUUUGAAGGCACAACAACAUGAACAACUUUUUCAGGCUUUAGUUUAAUUAUUGUAAUUUACAAGUAUUUGUGUCUAAUAAGUCAGAAUUAAUGGGGGGUGUCUUCCAUUGUAUACCAAAAAUAAAUACAUAUACUUCGAAUAGAAAAAAAGAGAUGAAGAUGUGUGAUCACUGAUCCCAUUGUUUGUGUUU